CGCAGGCGGUCUUGUCCGUCAGGUGUGAAAGCUCGGGGCUCAACCCCGGAAGUGCACUUGAAACAGCAAGACUUGAAUACGGGAGAGGAGAGAGGAAUUCCUGGUGUAGAGGUGAAAUUCGUAGAUAUCAGGAGGAGCACCGAUGGCGAAGGCAUCUCUCUGGACCGAUAUUGACGCUGAGGCGCGAAGGCGUGGGUAGCGAACG
This 205-nucleotide ribosomal RNA is filed under the name uncultured bacterium. RNAcentral describes it as "partial 16S ribosomal RNA". It matches the Rfam family "Bacterial small subunit ribosomal RNA", at positions 570 to 774 of the family's 1533-position model. The record is from RNAcentral.